CCUACGGGAGGCAGCAGUGGGGAAUAUUGCGCAAUGGGCGAAAGCCUGACGCAGCGACGCCGCGUGAGGGAUGAAGGUCUUCGGAACGUAAACCUCUGUCAGCAGGGAAGAACGGUCACUGUGCUAAUCAGCAGUGAAUUGACGGGACCUGCAAAGGAAGCACCGGCUAACGCCGUGCCAGCAGCCGGGGUAAUCCGGAGGGUGCGAGCGUUAAUCGGGAGUACGGGGCGUAAAGGGCUCGUAGGCGGUAUGUCAAGUCAAGGGUUAAAUCACCGCGUUCAACGUGGGAACUGCCUUUGAUACUGGCAAGCUGGAGUGUGUCAGAGUAUAGUGGAAUUCCAGGUGUAGGUGUGAAAUCCGUAG
This 363-nucleotide ribosomal RNA is filed under the name uncultured bacterium. RNAcentral's name for it is "partial 16S ribosomal RNA". It matches the Rfam family "Bacterial small subunit ribosomal RNA", at positions 338 to 693 of the family's 1533-position model. The record is from RNAcentral.